UGAUCCUGGCUCAGAGCGAACGUUAGCGGCGGGCUUAACACAUGCAAGUCGAGCGAGAAAGGGGCUUCGGCCCUGAGUACAGCGGCGGACGGGUGAAUAACACGUAGGUAACCUUCCUUUCAGCGGGGGACAACGGUCCGAAAGGACCGCUAAUACCGCAUACGUUCCCUGGGACCUCGGUCCCGGGGAGGAAAGGCCCGCAAGGGCCACUGGAUGAGGGGCCUGCGUAGCAUCAGCUAGUUGGUGGGGUAAUGGCCUACCAAGGCGAAGACGCUUAGCUGGUCUGAGAGGAUGAUCAGCCACACUGGGACUGAGACACGGCCCAGACUCCUACGGGAGGCAGCAGUGGGGAAUAUUGGACAAUGGGCGCAAGCCUGAUCCAGCCACGCCGCGUGAGUGAUGAAGGCCU
This 409-nucleotide ribosomal RNA is filed under the name uncultured bacterium. RNAcentral describes it as "bacterial SSU rRNA". It matches the Rfam family "Bacterial small subunit ribosomal RNA", at positions 14 to 417 of the family's 1533-position model. The record is from RNAcentral.